UCCUACGGGAGGCAGCAGUGGGGAAUUUUGGACAAUGGGGGCAAGCCUGAUCCAGCCAUUCCGCGUGAGUGAAGAAGGCCUUCGGGUUGUAAAGCUCUUUCGCAAGGGAAGAAACGAUACCGACGAAUAAUCGGUGUUAAUGACGGUACCUCUAUAAGAAGCACCGGCUAACUACGUGCCAGCAGCCGCGGUAAUACGUAGGGUGCGAGCGUUAUUAUCAGUAAUUAUUGGUAAAGCGUGCGCAGGCGGUUUUGUAAGUCAGAUGUGAAAUCCCCGGGCUCAACCUGGGAACUGCGUUUGAAACUACAAGGCUAGAGUAUGGUAGAGGGGGGUAGAAUUCCACGUGUAGCAGUGAAAUGCGUAGAGAUGUGGAGGAAUACCAAUGGCGAAGGCRGCCCCCUGGACUAAUACUGACGCUCAUGCACGAAAGCGUGGGGAGCAAACACGAUUAGAUACCCUGGUAGUCCACGCCCUAAACGAUGUCUACUAGUGUGGGAGAGUAAAACUCUUAGUAACGCAGCUAAC
RNAcentral lists this ribosomal RNA (525 nucleotides) under uncultured bacterium. RNAcentral's name for it is "bacterial SSU rRNA". It matches the Rfam family "Bacterial small subunit ribosomal RNA", at positions 337 to 856 of the family's 1533-position model. The record is from RNAcentral.